GGCAAGCAAGCUUGGUUCACAAAGGGUUCAUCAUGCUGCCAGGGCAGGUGGCGGAGCCAGGUGGCUUCUGGGAGCUUCUCUUGUUCUUAUUGAAGGUUUCUCUUGGGUGCUUCUGGCGUGUCAUUAUGAACAGUGAGAACAUUUGCUUAGCAACCACAAAAUUGCCCAAGGCAGACAGACCUGUCUAGGAAUCCUGACUCCACCAGCCCCUAGUUUCGCCUCAGCCCAAUGGAGAAGAUCUAUUAUUAGCCCUGGCUUUCUAGAGGAGAAAGCCGAGUCACAGGGAGAUUAAGAGGCUUGCCUGAAGUCAUGGAGCUAAUGGGUUUGGAACCAGGACUUGAACAGAAACCAUCCAGCUCCAGAACCCACAAGUUUGGAUGUCCUUUAUGUAAUUUUCCUGUCUCUGUUCUUCUUGAAAUCUGGUCCAAUGCUAUCCAGAAUUGUGAACAGACAAGGAGGUAAAAACCUGUGUGUGGUUCUGAAGUGUCAUCGUUCAGAGGCUUCCAACAGGAGGGAGGAGAAACAGACACCAGCCAUGUUUGGAAACCCAAUGCACUCCAUGGAUUGUCACUUGUCAUACACCCCUUCCCUUUGAGAACCAAGUUCUCUCCUCUGGUGGGAAAAUUAACUUCAUGCUUUAAAGACAAGAGGUUUCAAGAAACUCCAAAUGUCCAGUGGCCCUGCAAAACAUGGUGAUAAUUUGGGAGAGGCCAAUCAGAAGCAUAUGGGUUAGAUUUUGUCCGAAAUCACAUGAAGAUUUUAAUAGAGAAGUUCUCAAGAGAACAAGCAUGUUUUGAUAUUCCUUUCUCAAAUCCCAAACAUUUGAGAGAUGCCAUUGAAAGUCUCCUCAAAGUAAAACAAAUGAAAAGUCUUUUAAGUUUUAGAACUUGAAAAGCCUCGUAGGUUAUCUUGUCUUUCUGUAUAGUAGACUAAAUUCCUAGUAUAAAAUCGUCUAGAAGAGGUCAAAACAAAACAAAACAAUAACACGUAGCCCAAGUUCAAUAUCUCUUUUCUGUCACUCUUUUCCGCCACUCCUGGGAACGAGGGGAGGCUAUUUGAAUUGUCACAAGUUUAGUUUUCCUUGUGUGUUAAAUAGGGCUAUUGAUUCACGAAGUUGUAGAUGAUGGAAGAUAUCUACAACAUCACUGUGUAAGUUUUGGACUACAGCUAAACCUUGAUAAUGUUCUUUCAAUUGGUUUUGUUAUAAUGUUAAAUAGAAUUUGUCCAUAUACAGCAUUUUUCUCAUUCUUUUAAUAUACAGUGGUAAUUUUAAAAAGAGAAGGAGAAGCUUGGGAUUAGCUAGCUAAUCACUUAAAUACGUUAUUUUUGAUUGUAUCAGAAUUGGAUAUAAUACUUUCUCUACUAUUUAUUAAUUUUAUGUGUUUGCCAAGGGAAUUGACUUCUCUAAGCCUCCCUUCUCCAACUACAGUUGUCUUCUAGUAUGCUGUGAGGAUGAAAUAAUCCAUGUGAUUUGUUUGACUUAGCACUAUGGCUUGUAAUUGCUAAAAAGAAAAAGCAAUCAGCACCAUUAUCAUCCAUGACAAAUAGUUACUAAUUUCUUAUUUCUCCCUGUAUUAAACAUCCCAAUCCACUUAGGUACAUCAGAUAUCCAUCCAAAAUAAAACAUUACAAGUACAAUUGCUGGGUACUUGGCUGCAUCUUUUGUUUCCUUCUGGGGUCAACUCGACUUAAUGUCAUCCUUGAGAUUUAUCUUCAAGCAGUAUUAGAAAGUACACAUUUCUUGAAAAGAUGGUGUCUGGCUAUAGUUUUACUACAAUUGACAUCAUUGUAAUCACAGAAUAUCACAGGGAGUUUUGAUUUCCUUCUUCUAAAACAAAGGAUAAAUUAAAUUUUUAUGUCAUAGGGAAAGGUCAUAGAAUGAACCAGUUUCAUAAUUUUAACUGUUCUUAAGCCACAAUGCUACAAUAAGAAUGAGAGAUCCUUGGUACCUACUUUCAUUCUGCAUCUUCUUGAGAAGUCUAAACCACCAAAGUCACCCCCAGGGACCAACUUCAUCAAGUUAGGCUCCACCUAAACUUACCAGAAUCUCCUCAAAUCGUGUUACUGUCUGGGGACUAAGCAUUUAAUAUAUGAGUCUAUGGAUGACAUUUCCUAGUCAAGCCAUAACAGAGCCUCACAUUGCGCUAAAUGAGAGGAAUUUAAAAACGUGUAAAAUACAAUCCUUCACCCUAGGCAUCUCACAAAUAAACUGAGGUAUUUGAGACUACUAAGAUGGAAAAUUUCCCCCAUGAAAGAGCAUUUUAUAGCAGGGGAAGCAGGAGACACUAAUUGACAUGAUGACAUGAUCAAGGCACUAGGGGAGAAGGUGAACUAGUGGUGCUCAGCGUGAGUUAUCCUAUUUAAUUCUUACAACAUUAUAUUAUAUGUGUAUCCUUCGA
Molecule: long non-coding RNA, 2399 nt
Organism: Alexandromys fortis (reed vole)
Lineage: Eukaryota; Metazoa; Chordata; Mammalia; Rodentia; Cricetidae
Exons: 4
Source: RefSeq, a predicted model, not a curated record